GACGAACGCUGGCGGCGUGCUUAACACAUGCAAGUCGAACGAUGAAAGCUGGAGCUUGCUCCGGCUGGAUGAGUGGCGAACGGGUGAGUAACACGUGAGUAAUCUGCCCUUGACUCUGGCAUAACUCCGAGAAAUCGGUUCUCAUACCGGAUAUGACCCUUGGCGGCACCGAUGGGGUUGGAACGUUUUUCGGUCAAGGAUGAGCUCGCGGCGUAUCAGCUUGGUGGUGAGGUAAUAGCUCACCAAGGCGACGACGGGUAGCCGGCCUGAGAGGGUGACCGGCCACACUGGGACUGAGACACGGCCCAGACUCCUACGGGAGGCAGCAGUGGGGAAUAUUGCACAAUGGGCGCAAGCCUGAUGCAGCAACGCCGCGUUGGGGAUGACGGCCUUCGGGUUGUAAACCUCUUUUAGCAGGGGAGAAGCGAAAGUGACGGUACCUGCAGAAAAAGCACCGGCUAACUACGUGCCAGCCGCCGCAGUAA
Molecule: ribosomal RNA, 485 nt
Filed under: uncultured bacterium
Lineage: Bacteria
Description: partial 16S ribosomal RNA
Rfam family: Bacterial small subunit ribosomal RNA
Source: RNAcentral